ACAGUCCUCCUUCUUGCCCUCCCCCCGAACCCAUAUGAACCGCACGAGUUUAAGAUUAAAGGUCCUUUCUGCCACGGAACACCCGGGGAAGCUUGGUCUCUGUUUCCUCCUGCCAAAGGGGGACAGCGCGGCCGAGCUCCACUCUGGGAAAACCAGCAGAGAGUCCGCAACCAGAUCCGUUAAAAGGCAGUGAUCUGCUAUACACAGUAUGGAGAAUUAAGAAUAGUCAUCUGAAGUAAGGGAGGGAAGCGAAUGGUAAACUAGUUCCCCUGAGGCUGACUUUAUGUGUGACCAAAGCCUGCAGACAAUUCAAACAGUAUUCCUUAAGUUGAUAUAUGUCCUGUUCUAUACAUUAAGCAAGUUUAUGAAGUUAUUCUGCCACUUCAGAUAUAAAACUUGGGAAGUUAGCUUUCUCACACUGUUAUUUCUGCAGAGGAAGAUAACCAAAAGGAUUCACUCCAACUCAGAUUCAUAAUUUGAUACCACAACAGUCAGAAAAAAGGAGCACACUGACUCAGAAGGAACUUGGCUAUCUUCGCUGGCAUUUCUACACAGAGGCUCAGAAAAAGCACAUUUUCUCCUCUACUCCCAAAACAUCACAAACCAAUUUCUACAGCAAGUUACCAGACUGAUGAACAGUUCAGCAAGUAAUGCUGACUCACAUUGUUUUCCUUCUAACUCAGUAUUAUAUAGGUAAUCUUAUUUUUUCCCCUACAUCCACAUACAGUUUUCCUAGAACUGACAGAAGCUUUACACAUUUUAUCACAUCAGAUAAGCAUAUUCUUUAAUUUACCUCACAGCAGAUUAAAUUAACACUACUUCAGUGAUAUUACUACAGAUUUUACAGCUACUAGCAUGGUUUAAUCCCAGUCAUCAACCAAGUCCCACACAGCCGCUCACUCACUUGCCCACCAGCAGGAUCAGGGAGAGAACUGGAAGAGUAAAAGCUGGAAAACUCUUGGGUUGAAAUAAAGACAGGGAAAGCAAAAGCCAUACACACA
Molecule: long non-coding RNA, 1001 nt
Organism: Corapipo altera (White-ruffed manakin)
Lineage: Eukaryota; Metazoa; Chordata; Aves; Passeriformes; Pipridae
Exons: 3
Source: RefSeq, a predicted model, not a curated record